AAAUUGGUAUCACUAGUUACGUUGACAUGGUACGGUUAAGGGCACACCGCAAUCGUGUUCAUUUGUUUCAGUUUAAACAUACACUAUCUAUUGUAUCGUGCAGUCUUGUUUAACCAAUUAUCUACGUUGUGGUUCUGAACUUACAGGAUACGGUAUUAUAAGCAUUUGCAGGACCUGCGUGACGAACAAUUUAAUAGUCUUGCGUUGGCCCAUGGACAUCAUGGUACCAAAUGUCUCCACCACGAACGGUAUAACCACAUUCGAAAUGAUGGCAGCAAUGUGGCAUAACAACAGAGGCAUUGGCAACCAGGGUGAUCUGCCAUGGCCAAAGUUGAAGGUCGAUUUUGAGUAUUAUUUAAAGACCACAUCCACACACAAGAAAGAUAUUAACUGCGUACCAUGGAGUGCUCCGAGAGUCCGCAGUUGGUCGCAAAGGUCCGCAAGGCUUCGCUGUUACAGUCGUCUGGAAACCGAAGAGGUGAGUCCGUCGACCACCAGGCUAAAAAUACAUCACCAACGCCGGGU
Dreissena polymorpha is the source of this 525-nucleotide long non-coding RNA. RefSeq lists it as uncharacterized. The record is from RefSeq and is a predicted model, not a curated record. NCBI's taxonomy places the organism in Eukaryota, Metazoa, Mollusca, Bivalvia, Myida, Dreissenidae. The transcript is spliced from 4 exons.